RNAcentral lists this ribosomal RNA (497 nucleotides) under uncultured bacterium. Its description in RNAcentral is "partial 16S ribosomal RNA". It matches the Rfam family "Bacterial small subunit ribosomal RNA", at positions 28 to 507 of the family's 1533-position model. The record is from RNAcentral.
GACGAACGCUGGCGGCGUGCCUAAUACAUGCAAGUAGAACGCUGAAGCGAGGAGCUUGCUCUUCUUGGAUGAGUUGCGAACGGGUGAGUAACGCGUAGGUAACCUGCCUUGUAGCGGGGGAUAACUAUUGGAAACGAUAGCUAAUACCGCAUAACAAUGGAUGACACAUGUCAUUUAUUUGAAAGGGGCAAUUGUUCCACUACAAGAUGGACCUGCGUUGUAUUAGCUAGUAGGUGAGGUAAUGGCUCACCUAGGCGACGAUACAUAGCCGACCUGGGAGGGUGAUCGGCCACACUGGGACUGAGACACGGCCCAGACUCCUACGGGAGGCAGCAGUAGGGAAUCUUCGGCAAUGGGGGCAACCCUGACCGAGCAACGCCGCGGGAGGGAAGAAGGGUUUCGGAUCGUAAAGCUCUGUUGUAAGUCAAGAACGGGUGUGAGAGUGGAAAGUUCACACUGUGACGGUAGCUUACCAGAAAGGGACGGCUAACUACGUG